This 73-nucleotide transfer RNA is filed under the name Cirripectes castaneus (chestnut eyelash-blenny). RNAcentral's name for it is "tRNA-Trp". It matches the Rfam family "tRNA". Rfam says of the family: Transfer RNA (tRNA) molecules are approximately 80 nucleotides in length. Lineage: Eukaryota; Metazoa; Chordata; Actinopteri; Blenniiformes; Blenniidae. The record is from RNAcentral.
AAGAGUUUAGGUUAGCAUCAUAGACCAAGGGCCUUCAAAGCCCUAAGCGGGAGUGAGAAUCUUCCAACUCUUA